AUUUUUGUGUCAAAAUGGCGGUUUCGAAAUAAAAAUUUUAUUUCGAAACCGCCAUUUUGACACAAAAAU
RNAcentral lists this microRNA precursor (69 nucleotides) under Phlebotomus papatasi. Its description in RNAcentral is "microRNA mir-242". Lineage: Eukaryota; Metazoa; Arthropoda; Insecta; Diptera; Psychodidae. The record is from RNAcentral.